UGAGAUACAAUUGCAAAACAUGUUAGUAGAUUUACCAGUUUUUCUUGUGCUAUAUCACUGGGAUUACAGGUGUGUACUGGCUAAUGAUUACUUAGGUUUACCUACAUAAUUACAGUUUCUUAGCUCAUCAUUUUUUCUUAUAAAUCAGACUUCCCUUUUGAAAUAAUUUCCAUUCUGAAGUGCAAAUAUCCUUUAAAAAUUCCUUUAGACAGUCUAUGUAGAUGUUAAAUUCAAUUUCUAGGUAUCUAGAAAUUAUCUUAUUUCUAUACUUUGCCCCCAUUUUUGAGAGAUAAUUUUGCUAGGUACCAAUUCCAGGUUGAAAAUGACUGUCAUGAUUCUGAAGAUAUGAAUCCACUGUCCUUUGACAGUGUUCUGUUGAGAAAUCUGGUAUCAGCUUAACUGUCCUUUUCCUGUAGAUAAUUUAAAAGAUACAGAAUUUAAUGCAACUUUGCCACUUAUCUGUUACAUCAUCUUAUAACGACAAAACACUAACUUUACAGUUUUGUUGUAAACGUGAAUAUAGCGCUAUACACAUGAUUAUUAUUAUCUACUCUCGACUGGCGUAUUAGUCAACUUGAUGUCACUGUGAUGAAAUACCUGAGAAAAACAACAUGAAGAAGGAAAGAUUUAUUUUGGAUCCCAGUUUCAUACGUUUUAUUUCAUACUUGUUGGGCCACAUGGCUGUGGGCUCAUGAUGAGGCAGAACAUCAUGGUGGGUAGAGUGUGACAGGCAAAGCUGCUCAUCUCAUGGUGGCUAGGAAGGAGCAAGAGAGAAAGGAAGGAUCUAGGGACAAAAUAAACUCUUCAGUCAUGUCCCCAGUUAUCUACAAAAUCACCAGCUGGGGACCAAGUCUUUAGCACAUGGCCUUUCGGGUACAUUUCAUAUCCAAACCGUAAUACCUGGGUAGUUUCUAUGUCAUAUACCAUCUUUUGUUUACUUCCCUCUACACUGAAAGUAACUGUAAUGGGGCAAAUGGGUCAGAUCCAGGAGUGAGAAUUAGAAAUUAAAAGGACAAGCCAGAGCCAUGCAUGGGGGCACAUACCUGUAAUCCAGUUACUUGGGAAACUGAGGCAGUAGCAUUGCAAGCUUAAGUCUGGGUGACUUCGUGAGACCCUGUCUCAAAAUUUAAAGAAAGGACUGGGGAUGCAGCUCAGUGGUAGAGCAUUUGCUUAGCAUGCACGAGUCCCUGGGUUCAACCCUCAAUACUGUAAACAAGCCAGGGCGCAAAGUACAGCUCAGUAGCAGAGGGUAUGCCUAGGAUUUGCAAAAUCCUCUUGAUUUGAUCUCCACACUGCAAUCAGUCAAUAAAACAAUCAAAGCAA
This 1323-nucleotide long non-coding RNA is filed under the name Marmota monax (woodchuck). Lineage: Eukaryota; Metazoa; Chordata; Mammalia; Rodentia; Sciuridae. The record is from RNAcentral.